GACGAACGCUGGCGGCGUGCUUAACACAUGCAAGUCGAACGGAAAGGCCCCUUUGGGGGUACUCGAGUGGCGCACGGGUGAGUAACACGUGAGUAACCUGCCCUUGACUUCGGGAUAACUUCAGGAAACUGGGGCUAAUACCGGAUAGGAAUCCUUGCUUCAUGGUGGGGGUUGGAAAGCUUCGGCGGUUUUGGAUGGACUCGCGGCUUAUCAGCUUGUUGGUGGGGUAGUGGCUUACCAAGGCUUUGACGGGUAGCCGGCCUGAGAGGGCGACCGGCCACAUUGGGACUGAGAUACGGCCCAGACGCCUACGGGAGGCAGCAGUGGGGAAGAUUGAACAAGGGGCGGAAGCCUGAUGCAGCAACGCCGCGUGCGGGAGGACGGCCUUCGGGUUGUAAACCGCUUUCAGCAGGGGCGAAGCUUGUGGUGACGGUACCUGCAGAAGAAGCACCGGCUAACUACGUG
RNAcentral lists this ribosomal RNA (465 nucleotides) under uncultured bacterium. Its description in RNAcentral is "partial 16S ribosomal RNA". It matches the Rfam family "Bacterial small subunit ribosomal RNA", at positions 28 to 507 of the family's 1533-position model. The record is from RNAcentral.